RNAcentral lists this non-coding RNA (30 nucleotides) under Rattus norvegicus (Norway rat). Lineage: Eukaryota; Metazoa; Chordata; Mammalia; Rodentia; Muridae. The record is from RNAcentral.
UCAUAGUGUGGCUUUGGACUUCUUGGUCUU